RNAcentral lists this ribosomal RNA (657 nucleotides) under uncultured bacterium. Its description in RNAcentral is "bacterial SSU rRNA". It matches the Rfam family "Bacterial small subunit ribosomal RNA", at positions 57 to 713 of the family's 1533-position model. The record is from RNAcentral.
GCAGUCGAGCGGUUUAUUUAGCUUGCUAGAUAGAUAGCGGCGAACGGGUGAGUAAUACCUAGGAAUCUGCCUGAUAGUGGGGGACAACGUGUGGAAACGCACGCUAAUACCGCAUACGUCCUACGGGAGAAAGGGGGCUUUUCGGAGCUCUCGCUAACAGAUGAGCCUAGGUCAGAUUAGCUAGUUGGUAGGGUAAAGGCCUACCAAGGCGACGAUCUGUAGCGGGUCUGAGAGGAUGAUCCGCCACACUGGAACUGAGACACGGUCCAGACUCCUACGGGAGGCAGCAGUGGGGAAUAUUGGACAAUGGGCGAAAGCCUGAUCCAGCCAUGCCGCGUGUGUGAAGAAGGCCUUUUGGUUGUAAAGCACUUUAAGCGGGGAGGAGGGCACCACGGUUAAUACCCGUGACUGUCGGACGUUACCCGCAGAAUAAGCACCGGCUAACUCUGUGCCAGCAGCCGCGGUAAUACAGAGGGUGCGAGCGUUAAUCGGGAUUACUGGGCGUAAAGCGCGCGUAGGCGGCUUGUUAAGUCGGAUGUGAAAUCCCUGGGCUCAACCUAGGCAUUGCAUUCGAUACUGGCAAGCUAGAGUAUGGGAGAGGAAGGUAGAAUUCCAGGUGUAGCGGUGAAAUGCGUAGAGAUCUGGAGGAAUACCGAU